This 303-nucleotide ribosomal RNA is filed under the name uncultured bacterium. Its description in RNAcentral is "partial 16S ribosomal RNA". It matches the Rfam family "Bacterial small subunit ribosomal RNA", at positions 507 to 807 of the family's 1533-position model. The record is from RNAcentral.
AGCAGUAGCCGCGGUAAUACGUAGGUGGCAAGCGUUGUCCGGAAUUAUUGGGUGUAAAGGGCUCGCAGGCGGUUUCUUAAGUCUGAUGUGAAAGCCCCCGGCUCAACCGGGGAGGGUCAUUGGAAACUGGGAAACUUGAGUGCAGAAGAGGAGAGUGGAAUUCCACGUGUAGCGGUGAAAUGCGUAGAGAUGUGGAGGAACACCAGUGGCGAAGGCGACUCUCUGGUCUGUAACUGACGCUGAGGAGCGAAAGCGUGGGGAGCGAACAGGAUUAGAGACCCCAGUAGUCCCUGUCUCUUAUAC